RNAcentral lists this ribosomal RNA (512 nucleotides) under uncultured bacterium. RNAcentral describes it as "partial 16S ribosomal RNA". It matches the Rfam family "Bacterial small subunit ribosomal RNA", at positions 28 to 523 of the family's 1533-position model. The record is from RNAcentral.
GACGAACGCUGGCGGCGUGCCUAAUACAUGCAAGUCGAGCGGAACUGGGGGAGCUUGCUCCUUCCAGUUUAGCGGCAGACGGGUGAGUAACACGUGGGCAACCUGCCCUGCAGAUCGGGAUAACUCCGGGAAACCGGUGCUAAUACCGAAUAGUUUGGCGCCUCUCCUGAGGCGCUACGGAAAGACGGUUUCGGCUGUCACUGCAGGACGGGCCCGCGGCGCAUUAGCUAGUUGGUGGGGUAACGGCCCACCAAGGCGACGAUGCGUAGCCGACCUGGGAGGGUGACCGGCCACACUGGGACUGAGACACGGCCCAGACUCCUACGGGAGGCAGCAGUAGGGAAUCUUCCGCAAUGGACGCAAGUCUGACGGAGCAACGCCGCGUGAGUGACGAAGGUUUUCGGAUCGUAAAACUCUGUUGUGAGGGAAGAACACGUACCAACUAACUAUUGGUACCUUGACGGUACCUCACCAGAAAGCCACGGCUAACUACGUGCCAGCCGCCGCGGUAA